Long non-coding RNA from Capsicum annuum, 6529 nucleotides. RefSeq lists it as uncharacterized. The record is from RefSeq and is a predicted model, not a curated record. The transcript has 2 exons. Lineage: Eukaryota; Viridiplantae; Streptophyta; Magnoliopsida; Solanales; Solanaceae.
UUAUAGCAAAAAAAUAUCUUUAUCGAUGUCAUUGCUUACCUAUAUUGAGGUUGCAAUUCAACAUUGGCAGCUGAGGAAUAUUUGUCCAGAUUUUCUUCUGCCAAAAACUUAAAACAUUGGCCAAGCAUUUAUGGGAUGGACCCACACUUUUCAUCAUUUUUCUUUCCCUUUUAGACACUACACGUACAACACAAAGAAAAAAAAAAGAGAUUCUCUCAUAUCUCACUUUCUCUCUCUUAAUUUACUCUCUCUUUCUUUUAUCUUUACUGUCAUCCACCUCAGAAUAUUUUCCUUUCAUUUUCCGAUAAAACUAAGAACAAUCAGCAACAACAGGGCUCUUUCAUUUUUUUUUUUUGACAUUUUUAUAAACAACAACUACUUCCUCCACUAUUAUCCAGAUCCCGCUAGCCACCAGAUCCAGCCAUCACUAAUAAACCAGAUCCGACGACCUCCCCGACAAAUACACUCCAAAUUUGGUAGUCCGCUACCAUCACUGAAAGUAAUAUUAUGUUGUUUAAUUUUCUUAGUGAUUUUAUUUUUUUUGUGAUAUAUUGAUAUUGUUUUAUCUGUGCUAAAAUAUUUUUGGCCAAUGAUAUUAUCUCUCCGUCGGAUAUUUGAGGUCACCCCAUUAUAAAAGAUGAUUUUUAUUUUUUAAUUUAUUUAUUUUUCUGGAGGAAUUUGGACUCCAAUAGCAUUUAAUUUCGUUCAAUAUGCUAUUAUCAUGUUAUUAAAGUAGUUGUCUUUUGUUACUUUUCCUUGAUGGCUCAUUGUUAUCCGGUUGUUUAUAUUAUUAUUUUUACUUUAUUACUUUAUUUCUCCAAUUUUCUUGCAUUGAUGUUAUUUUAUCAUCCAUGUUGAUUUGUUUUGCUGUCAAACCACUCACGUGGUUUAAUGUUAUUUUAAUUAUUUAAAAUGUUCUUUGAUAUUAUACUUUAGUGAUCCCUUUUUUUUUUGCUUUUGUGAAAUUUCUUUUUUAAAAAAAAAAAAAAUUAUUUUGCACUUUAACAUGUGUUCUUGUUUAUACGGAUUAACACAUGGCCGAUAAAUACGUAUAUACUUUGGGAAAUGAUGAAAUUGUUAUAAUUUUUUUGAAAACUUUAUCUGAGCCCGCUUUUUACUAAAAAUUAUAUUUUUUAAUACAUAUAUGUGCGCAUGCCUUUUUAUAAGUAUUUCUUUGUUACUAACAUUUUUACUACAAGUAUUUGUACACGUUCUCGGGAAUACUUGUCGAACAGGACACUCAAAAAGAGAGUUCAAGCUUAUUUUAUGUUUGUAUUUUUUUUAAUUUUUAUAGUUGCACAAAUAUUAUCAUAGUGAAACUUUAUUUUUUGAGGUGUUGGGCGGGGAUGUUCUUUAUUUAUGUAAUCUUUAACACACGUGUAGGCAAAUUUAGGCCGUCAAUAUUUAUAUUAAAUUGAUUUAGACAUCUAAUCAAAUAAUUCACAAUUUUUACACUAAAAACAUUACAUAAUCUUUUCUUUAAAAUAAAUUUUCUUUUAUUCAAUCUUUAUUUUUCUUUUCAUAUACGUUCUUAUAUAUAAUUUUAUUUACAUAUUUUCAUAUACUUUUAUACAAGUUUUACUAUAAUAUAGAUAAUUUGUACAUCUUUUAUACAUAAAUUAUUUACAUCAUUUUAAUACACAUUUCAUAUUUGUAUACACACACACACACACACACACACACACACACACACAUAUAUAUAUAUAUAUAUAUAUAUAUAUAUAUAUAUAUUUUUAAUCUUUUAAUAAACCUAAGUCUGGUCGGGAACUACAUUUGUGAAUUUUGAAGGGUGACUAAUAUCUUUUCUUCGGAAUAAUUUGAACCCUUACCUAGAAUCUAAAUUGGUUCGUAGAUUAAAACACAAGUCAUACAUGUUAAUAAAUAAAUGAAUUUCCUUAUUUUCCUUAAAAAUUAAGUGGCGACUCUGUACAUAAUUUUUUUUAUUCUUUUAGAGUCCAUAAGUCGUGCUUGUUGACAGAAUGACGACUCUAAUGGGGAGAUGCAAGGUUCUAACCAUUACAGAUUUAGGUAAAUAUUUAUUUUUUUCUGCAUUAUUAUUUAUGUCUUUCUAAUUGUCAUGAUUUAUCAUGUUUGUGUGUACAAAUUGCUAUUUGUUUUGUAUAGUUUGUUUAUUUGUUUAUUGCUUUAUAUAAAUUGUUAUCUCGUUCAUAUUUCUUCCAUUUGAGAAAAGCUGCCACAAUCAAGUGAGGUGUUUCUUACGCACCCACAAAUUUUUUUCAAAAUCUUAAAUUUUAGGAGAGUUGGCGUAUGCGCAGGGUGUCUGGAUCUUUUUCUGCGUGCCCGUGUAGCCUUCUCACUCGAGUAGUCCGCUCGAGAACCACAGGUCUAGCAAACUCACUCUUAGUCGAACAUAGGAUAGAGCUAAAAUAAUACCUUUUAGGUGCAUGCAUUGUCAGUCAACUUUAUGUCUGAAGGGUUCACGACCCAAGUGACACGUCAUCAUAUUCUUUGUACAUAUUUGAACAAUUAUUGUGUCUUUACAUAUUUGUUUGCUCUAAAUUGGUUAUACUUUAGUGAGAAGGUAUAGUCUAACCUUUAUUUUGCAUAGUGGAUUAGUUAAAAGAUACACCUUACCAACAUCACCACUAGUUGUGUUUAGUCCUAAACUAUGCAGACCUGAUUCUUGUUUUCACAGGAUACGUAGGCAACCCUCAUUUAGGUUCGGUCCCAUUUUUUUUUUACAAAAAAAAAAUAUAAAAAAAUUGACUUGGUUGAUACCAAUAUAAUUAGGAGUGCAUGAGAGAGAAUAAUUGGUAUGAUGGAGAGGACCGACUUCAUGGUAAACCAUAGGUUCUUUUGGUACCUUUUAUCACACCUGAGUAAUACUUGAAAAAUUCUCUUUCAUACAUCUAAGACAAGAAUGAAACCAACCUCAUCGUUUCAUGUGCAUUGUCUGGUGAGAUUUAGUUUAUAAUUCAUUACAUUGCAUUGUUGAUCUAGAACUUGGCCUAAAUGUUUUUUGAGGCAAAAUUCUGAGUUACAAUUGAUUUAGGAAAGGAUCGUAGGCCUUUUCUGACCUGAUUGAGACUUUCAUAACCCACCAAUUGACAUUAAUCCCCAGCAUUCACCUUUUGUGCCUAAAACUUUUUCUUUGGACAACCGCAUUUGUGCCUAUACCUUUUUGAGUGCUUAUGUGCACUAUCCCUCUUUUGACCCUACCUUCUUGAGCGCACUAAAUAUGUACAAAUUGUGGACAGAGAUUCAAGAUCAAAGAUGUAAAAUAUACAGGAUAUAUUGUCCCAGAUUAAAAAAAUUAAAAAAAACGACUUCAAAGGAGCAAAAACUCGAUAAAACAUUACAAAAAUAUAUAGUUUGUCAAAAAAAGAAAAAAAAAGGGAAAACUCCAACAUGAGAUUCAAAAGAAGUCAAAGCAAAUACAAAACAAGGGGCAAAGAAACAUAACAGAGAAGAUCGAGCGUCAAAACGCAAUAAAUGUCAAAAGCACGAAUACAGUGCAAUGCUCAGUAAGGAAUUAGUCACUUUUAUCUCAAAUAUUAUCCUACCCGUCCCUAAGCCUACAUUACAAGCCGAUAGCAAGUCCUACGAGAUUAUAUUUUAAGUGUUCUCACAUUAGUAGAUACUUACAUAAAGGUCAAGCCUAUGGUAUCGCAAUUGCAUGCAUUGAAUUUCUUUUUGAGUGUGAGUGUAUUUCUUAAUACGUCCAAAAAAAAAUUGUGUGAAAUGGGACUUUAUUUCUAGAUAGGACACUUGAAACAAGAGAAUAGGCAUAGUUCAAAAUCUUUGUUUGAAGCAAGACGAACAAAUCUUGUCGAUACUUAGGCAUGGAUGAGGUACCACUUGAAACUAUAGGAGUUACCCUGAAUUCGAUCUCAGUUAGCUGAGAAAGAGAUGAGGAAAUUAUUUUGCACACUACUAAUUAUUGGUACCAACUGAAGUCAAGACACACUCGUGUCUUCAUUAUUUUUCAACACUUUUACCAGCCACAGUCUUCGUAGGCAAUUAGAGAUGUCAAGCAUCUUUUUGAUCCGUAAUAGCAAAAUAUUUUUUUCAAUUUCCAUAGAAGAAGUCAGUGCCAGCGUAAAUCAUACACUGGGGAAAAUUUUGAGAGUCGCCUCAAAAUUUAUUCUAUUUUUCUUAUUUUAAACUACAUUGACCUGAUUCUCGUAACACUCGAGAUAUGUAGAAAGCUCUAUGAAGAGUUCAGUCAUCACAACUGCACAAUCAUUCUUUCUCCCCUACAAUUAUACAAUUUUGCAUCCCCCAGCAUCUCAUAGUUCGAUACUGGGCAAUUUUGAAAGCAGCAUUAGGAAUAAGUGAUCAAUUUCCUCCCCAAAUAAUUCUUUGCUAAAUAUUCGUUCCAAAAUAGGUCGUCCGCCUUUCAAUGAGACACGUUGGACCAUCACUUUGUUCAAAGUGACAUGUUAUACUCAAAAUAGGUUUUCCGCCUUUCAAUGAGACACGUUGGACCAUCACUCCGUUUAAAGUGACAUGUUAUACUCAAAAUAGGUCGUCUUCCUUUCAAUGAGACAUGUUAGACCAUCACUCCAUUCAAAGUGACAUAUUAUAUCCAAAAUAGAUUGUCCACCUUUUAAUGGGACACGUUGGACCAUCACUCCAUUCAAAGUGACAUAUUACAUCCAAAAUAGGUCGUCCGUCUUUCAAUGAGACGCAUUGGAUCGUCACUCCGUUCAAAGUGGCACGUUAUAUCCAAAAUAGGUCGUCUGCCUUUCAGUGAGACAUAUUGGACCGUCACUCUAUUCAAAGUGACAUGUUAAAUCCAAAAUAGGUCGUCCGCUUUUCAAUGAGACAUGUUGGACUGUCACUCCAUUCAAAGUGACAUAUUAAAUCCAAAAUAGGUCGUUCGCCUUUCAAUGAGACACGUUAGACUGUCACUCCGUUCAAAGUGACAUGUAACAUCCAAAAUAGGUCGUCCGCCUUUCCAUAAGACACGUUGGACCGGAACAUCACUCCAUUCAAAGUGACAUGUUACAUCCAAAAUAGGUCGUCCGCCAUUCAAUGAGACACAUUGGACUGUCACUCCGUUCAAAGUGGCAUAUUACAUCCAAAAUAGGUCGUCCGCCUUUCAAUGAGAUAUGUUGGACCGUUACUCCGUUCAAAGUGCAUGUUACAUCCAAAAUAGGUCAUCGGUCUUUCAAUGAGACACGUUGAAAUGUCACUUCGUUCAAAGUGACAUAUUACAUCCAAAAUAGGUCGUCUGCCUUUCAAUGAGACAUGUUGAACUGUUACUCGAUUCAAAGAGACAUGUUAAAUUCAAAAUAGGUCGUCUGCCUUUCAAUGAGACAUGUUAGACCGUCACUCCGUCCAAAGUGACAUGUUAUAUCCAAAAUAGGUUGUCCGCCUUUCAAUAAGACACAUUGGACAGUCACUCCAUUCAAAGUGGCAUGUUACAUCCAAGAUAGGUCGUCCACCUUUCAAUGAGACAGAUUAGACUUCGAGUAAAAUUGCUACGUGUCAAAAUUUUCGUUUGAAGAGUUCUACAUUAUCUUCGAACGCAAAGGGGAAAGUUGUUGACACCCAAUUUUGGCUCUCCAUAAAUGGCACAAAAUGCAAUUUUCACACAUUUUUGUAAUUGUUGAUAAAUUAUUGAUAAUCAUCAUUAUUGUAGGAUUUUUACUCAUUUAUCGUCAUAUUGUAAAUUUUCAUAAAUCUUAGAAUUUUUAUCAGUGUAUUUUAUUAUUGCACAGUAAUUUGCUACAUACAUAGCACAACACUGUAAUUUUUACUGCACAGUAUAAUUUUAAUUAUUUAUAACAUAAUAUAUUAGUUCAAAGAAAAAUAAAUUUCUUUGUUGUUUAUAUUCUUCUAUAUUUAUACAUCGGCAUUCAUAUUUUUGUAUAUUAUUUAAUACGACUCAUAAAUGUGAGUCAAUUUAAUUAUUUUAAUACACUAUAUAACAAUAAAUUCAGUGUCUUUAUUUAUAGCAAAAAAUUAUCUUCGUUGAUGUCAUUGCUUACCUAUAUUGAGGUUGCAAUUCAACAUUGGCAGUUGAGGAAUAUUUGUGAAGAUUUUCUUCUGCCAAAAGGUUGAAAAAACUUGUCAAAAAUUUGAAACAUUGGCCAAACAUUUAUGGGAUGAACCCACAUUUUUCAUCAUUUUUCUUUCCCUUUUAGACACUACACGUACAACACAAAGAAAAAAAAGAGAUACUCUCCUACCUCACUUUCUCUCUCUUAAUUCACUCUCUCUUUCUUUUAUCUUUACUGUCAUCCACUCCAGAAUAUUUUCCUUUCAUUUUCCUAUAAAACAAAGAACAACCAGCAACAACAAGGCUUUUCGAUUUUUUUUUGACAUUUUUAUAAACAACAAUUACUCCCUCCAUUAAUCUCCAAAUCCCGCUAGCCACCAGAUCCAGUCACCACUGCCAAACCAGAUUCGGUGACCUCCUCGGCACACACACUCCAGAUCUGGUUCUCAGGAAUACUUGUCGAAAAGGACACUCAAAAAGAGAGUUCAAGCUUAUUUUAUGUUUGUAUUUUUUUUAUUCUUAUAGUUGCACAAAUAUUAUCAUAGUGAAACUUUAUUUUUU